This 248-nucleotide ribosomal RNA is filed under the name uncultured bacterium. RNAcentral's name for it is "partial 16S ribosomal RNA". It matches the Rfam family "Bacterial small subunit ribosomal RNA", at positions 524 to 763 of the family's 1533-position model. The record is from RNAcentral.
UACGUAGGGUGCAAGCGUUGUCCGGAAUUACUGGGCGUAAAGAGCUCGUAGGUGGUUUGUCGCGUCGUCUGUGAAAGCCCCGGGGCUUAACUCCGGGUCUGCAGGCGAUACGGGCAUAACUAGAGGUGCUGUAGGGGAGACUGGAAUUCCGUGGUGUAAGCGGUGAAAUGCGCAGAAUAUCAUGAGGAACACCGAUGGCGAAGGCAGGUCUCUGGGGCAGUAACUGACGCUGAGGAGCGAAAAGCAUG